UAAUGUAAACAGAAAAAGGAAGUCCCGCCGAAAACAGGACUUCCCGUGCAAGCCGCUUCAAAGGCGGUGGCCUAGAUUACAAAACUACAUU
The sequence is a non-coding RNA, 91 nucleotides long. It matches the Rfam family "RNA anti-toxin A". The record is from Rfam.